This 254-nucleotide unclassified non-coding RNA is filed under the name Hevea brasiliensis (rubber tree). The record is from RNAcentral. Lineage: Eukaryota; Viridiplantae; Streptophyta; Magnoliopsida; Malpighiales; Euphorbiaceae.
UCCUUCUCAGAAAGAUUCCCCCUUCUAGCUGACCAUGGCACCUCAGCCUUGACCAAAGCUGGAGCAGGACCCCCCAAUUGAUUGGAAGAGAUUUGUGCUCUUGCAAAUUGGGAGUUGAGUUGGUCCUGACGCUUAAAUUGACUUGCAUCUGGCUGCCUGGAGUCAUAUUGCCCAGCAAAGUCUUUGUUUUCUCGAAGGGAAUCCCAGGACCUCUCCUCUGCAGAUGUAGAAAAUUGUGCAGAACGACCACGCCA